RNAcentral lists this ribosomal RNA (468 nucleotides) under Triticum aestivum (bread wheat). RNAcentral's name for it is "partial small subunit ribosomal RNA". The record is from RNAcentral. Lineage: Eukaryota; Viridiplantae; Streptophyta; Magnoliopsida; Poales; Poaceae.
AUGGGGGGCGGCCGGCGCAAGAAUUCCCGGAGGAAAGCGGCGUGGCCGACCGAGAUUGACGCCAUCCACGACGAUCUUGUCGAGCGGGUGUUCCUGCGCCUCCACUCGCAUCUCCACCUCGUCCGCGCCGCGUGCGCCUGCAGGCGCUGGCGCCGCAUAAUCGCGGGCGACGACGGCCGCGUCCUCCGCAGGUUCGGCUCUCUUCACGGCGCGUCGUCCGCCUGCGUUGCCAGCCACUACCGCGUCGAUGGGCGCUACCAGCACCCGCGUCCGCCUGGCUGUAACCCUGUCUUCGUCCCCUCCUCCUCGCCGUGGGCGCGCCCCGUCGCCGCUCGGAAGCUCGCGCUCGACUUCCUCCCACGGGGGGAAUAUGGCGAUUGUUGCUGGGAGCUCGUCGACAGCCGGAGCGGCUUCCUCCUCCUCUCCUCGACGCAGCGUGGCAACGCCUCGUCAUAUGCGAUCCCCUGA